This is a long non-coding RNA of Passer domesticus (house sparrow), 436 nucleotides long. RefSeq lists it as uncharacterized. NCBI's taxonomy places the organism in Eukaryota, Metazoa, Chordata, Aves, Passeriformes, Passeridae. The record is from RefSeq and is a predicted model, not a curated record. The transcript has 2 exons.
CUAUUUACAGUUCUGUAGGAGGACAGCUAGAGAAGAUUUUCCAGAGGUGUUCAGCCCUGUCCUUCAGCAAGUGCCAUUUUUAGGAAGAAGAACAACCUGUUCCCAUUCUCAUGUCAAGCAGCACAACUGCAGAGUGAUUCCAUCACUUUCCUGAAAGGUUUCACUGCUGAACAAUGGUACCCAAAACAGAGACCGCUGAAAAACCAAGGCAAAUGAUCACACCAAGAAAUGCUGAACCCAGCCCCUACAGUGGAUCAAAUGUGAUUGAUAAGAAGAACUCAACACCAUUCUUUUUCCCUCCCAAUUGAUUCAGCAGAUCGGAAAAGAAAUGUUUUGGGGGCUGGAGGGAAGAAUUGCUUACAUGGAAAUUAGUGAGAAAGAAAAAAAAAUCACAAUACAUUUGCCCUCUAAAUAAACAAACCCAAGAUCAUUUUUA